Molecule: non-coding RNA, 119 nt
Organism: Pteropus alecto (black flying fox)
Lineage: Eukaryota; Metazoa; Chordata; Mammalia; Chiroptera; Pteropodidae
Source: Rfam
AUCUAUAGACAUGCUACCCUGAACAAGCCCAAUCCCAUCUGAUCUUGGAAGCUAAGCAGGGUCUGGCCUGGUUAGUACUCGUAUGGGAGACCACCUAGGAAGACCAGGUGCUGUAGGCA